UACGGGGGGGGCAAGCGUUGUUCGGAAUUACUGGGCGUAAAGGGCUCGUAGGCGGCCAACUAAGUCGGACGUGAAAUCCCCAGGCUCAACCUGGGAACUGCGUCCGAUACUGGAUGGCUUGAAUUCGGGAGAGGGAUGCAGAAUUCCAGGUGUAGCGGUGAAAUUCGUAGAUAUUGGGAAGAACACCGGUGGCGAAGGCGGCGAGCUGGUCCAUUACUGACGCUGAGGCGCGACAGCGUGGGGAGCAAACAGG
This 253-nucleotide ribosomal RNA is filed under the name uncultured bacterium. RNAcentral's name for it is "partial 16S ribosomal RNA". It matches the Rfam family "Bacterial small subunit ribosomal RNA", at positions 524 to 776 of the family's 1533-position model. The record is from RNAcentral.